Non-coding RNA from Podarcis lilfordi (Lilford's wall lizard), 96 nucleotides. The record is from the annotation of a GenBank genome assembly. Lineage: Eukaryota; Metazoa; Chordata; Lepidosauria; Squamata; Lacertidae.
CCUCCAGAUGUUUUGGGACUACAAUUCCUAUCAUCCCUGACCACUGAUUCUGUUAGCUAGGGAUGAUGGGAGUUGUAGUCCCGAAACAUCUGGAGG